CCACGGGGGCUGCAGUGGGGAAUAUUGGACAAUGGGCGCAAGCCUGAUCCAGCCAUGCCGCGUGAGUGAUGAAGGCCUUAGGGUUGUAAAGCUCUUUCAGUAGGGAAGAUAAUGACGGUACCUACAGAAGAAGCCCCGGCUAACUUCGUGCCAGCAGCCGCGGUAAUACGAAGGGGGCUAGCGUUGUUCGGAUUUACUGGGCGUAAAGCGCACGUAGGCGGAUCGUUAAGUCAGGGGUGAAAUCCUGGAGCUCAACUCCAGAACUGCCUUUGAUACUGGCGAUCUAGAGUCCGGAAGAGGUGAGUGGAACUCCUAGUGUAGAGGUGGAAUUCGUAGAUAUUAGGAAGAACACCAGUGGCGAAGGCGGCUCACUGGUCCGGUACUGACGCUGAGGUGCGAAAGCGUGGGGAGCAAACA
This 417-nucleotide ribosomal RNA is filed under the name uncultured Devosia sp. RNAcentral's name for it is "bacterial SSU rRNA". It matches the Rfam family "Bacterial small subunit ribosomal RNA", at positions 339 to 774 of the family's 1533-position model. The record is from RNAcentral. Lineage: Bacteria; Pseudomonadati; Pseudomonadota; Alphaproteobacteria; Hyphomicrobiales; Devosiaceae.